This 253-nucleotide ribosomal RNA is filed under the name uncultured bacterium. RNAcentral's name for it is "partial 16S ribosomal RNA". It matches the Rfam family "Bacterial small subunit ribosomal RNA", at positions 524 to 776 of the family's 1533-position model. The record is from RNAcentral.
UACGUAGGGUGCGAGCGUUAAUCGGAAUUACUGGGCGUAAAGCGUGCGCAGGCGGUUCGUUGUGUCGGCGGUGAAAGCCCCGGGCUUAACCUGGGAAUGGCAUUUGGGACUGCAAGGCUUGAGUGCGGCAGAGGAGACUGGAAUUCCUGGUGUAGCAGUGAAAUGCGUAGAUAUCAGGAGGAACACCGAUGGCGAAGGCAGGUCUCUGGGCUGACACUGACGCUCAUGCACGAAAGCGUGGGGAGCAAACAGG